CCUAGUAGUACGGGGUUAUAGCAAUAUAGCCCCCGUCUGCACCCAUGUUUUUUGCGUACUACAUGUUUCCUCGGCUGGUUCUCCAGCCGAUAGGAUCUCUCAAACUCAUUGUAAUUGCAAUCAGCGUCUGAGAAAAUUAAUAUUUA
This 146-nucleotide unclassified non-coding RNA is filed under the name uncultured Shiraia. RNAcentral describes it as "sequence contains ITS1". The record is from RNAcentral. Lineage: Eukaryota; Fungi; Ascomycota; Dothideomycetes; Pleosporales.